GGUUAACCGAAUAGGGGAGCCGGAGGGAAACCGAGUCUUAAUUGGGCGUUAAGUUGCAGGGUAUAGACCCGAAACCCGGUGAUCUAGCCAUGGGCAGGUUGAAGGUUGGGUAACACUAACUGGAGGACCGAACCGACUAAUGUUGAAAAAUUAGCGGAUGACCUGUGGCUGGGGGUGAAAGGCCAAUCAAACCGGGAGAUAGCUGGUUCUCCCCGAAAGCUAUUUAGGUAGCGCCUCGUGAAUUCAUCUCCGGGGGUAGAGCACUGUUUCGGCUAGGGGGCCAUCCCGGCUUACCAACCCGAUGCAAACUGCGAAUACCGGAGAAUGUUAUCACGGGAGACACACGGCGGGUGCUAACGUCCGUCGUGAAGAGGGAAACAACCCAGACCGCCAGCUAAGGUCCCAAAGUCAUGGUUAAGUGGGAAACGAUGUGGGAAGGCCCAGACAGCCAGGAUGUUGGCUUAGAAGCAGCCAUCAUUUAAAGAAAGCGUAAUAGCUCACUGGUCGAGUCGGCCUGCGCGGAAGAUGUAACGGGGCUAAACCAUGCACCGAAGCUGCGGCAGCGACACUGUGUGUUGUUGGGUAGGGGAGCGUUCUGUAAGCCUGUGAAGGUGUGUCGUGAGGC
This 625-nucleotide ribosomal RNA is filed under the name Salmonella enterica subsp. enterica serovar Enteritidis. Its description in RNAcentral is "partial 23S ribosomal RNA". It matches the Rfam family "Bacterial large subunit ribosomal RNA", at positions 644 to 1269 of the family's 2925-position model. Lineage: Bacteria; Pseudomonadati; Pseudomonadota; Gammaproteobacteria; Enterobacterales; Enterobacteriaceae. The record is from RNAcentral.